Non-coding RNA from Manis javanica (Malayan pangolin), 4009 nucleotides. The record is from RefSeq and is a predicted model, not a curated record. Lineage: Eukaryota; Metazoa; Chordata; Mammalia; Pholidota; Manidae.
CUUGUGGCUCCUGUGAUCGUCACUCCAGCCACACUUCUUCAUCCCAAAUAUGGGCGGAAGCAGCAGUUUCUUCUCAGAGAAGCGCUUGAAUCCACUUCAUAGUUUUCCAACACCUAUAGAACCAGCUUCAUUCUCUAGCACCACCCGAUGGGGACCUUUUCCUUAACUGUCUGAGUCUUAGCUUCUUUAACACCUUCUCCUAAGUCUUGAAGUUUUAAUAACUCCAACCUCUUACCUUUCAUGUUAUAGCCCUAAGAGUGUGAGGCAGCCGUGAAAAUGACCCUCACAGACCUUUGGCUACAGAGAUCAUAAUUAGGGUUGCUAGAUUUCACAGAUAAAAGUACAGGAUGGAUGCCAGUUAAACUUGAACAACAAAUAACUUUUUACUUAAUUGGUGUGGUUUCCAUCUCUUGACUAGACCCAGACUGGAUGCCCCUAAGCUUGGUGAGAAUGCUAAACUGCUCCAGGAAGUCUAAGUGACUAACUCAUGCCAUUAAAGAUUGGACCCUAAAUUUUAAAAACCUGAAGUUCUCAGAGUAUCUUUACAUCUAAAACUAUCUUGGAGAUUUCCAAAGAAAUUCUGGAAAAUCACAAAGAUGAGUUCUUUUAUCUUAUAAAAAAUGUUAGAAAUAAUCAGGUUUGUUGGGUAGCUCAAUAUUGUUAAAAAAGCUCAAUACUACUGCAAGAGCAGAACGGGAAGGGUUAUCCAAUCAGAAGGGAGGUGCAGCCUUCUCUUAGUUAAGUUUGUAGAGGUAAAAUAUUAUUAAUAUAAAUAUUUCAGAGACUGUACACUUUGCAGGAAGGGCCUUAAGAUUUGGCACUUCCAUUGCUGUCCAUAAUAUGUUCUUAUCCUCUGGCAAAUAUUGAUCGAACCAUUAUGAAACAAGCAUGCAUCAGACAACUUUGUUCUCCUCCACUCUAAUAUUGCUGGUCGCUGUAAUAAAUUAACCACAGCCAUUCAGUCUUAGAGGUCAUUUCUGCUUUUCUCUCAUGUUUGCCUGGAGGCUCUGCUAUAAGUUACAAGCCGGAGAUAGGAUCUUCAACAAAAUAGUUUUAGAGCCUUGAGCAAAGGACUCUACUGGGUGCUUGUAAGUAUUGAUACUUCAAAGAACAGACUCCUAAACACCGGCUUCUGUGCUGACAGCCCUCGGAUGACUCUCAGACUGUACCAGGGUUCUGAGUCAGGAUUUUCAGGAUUCAUUUUUUUGGUCUGGAAACUGAUAAUUUUGUGAAGCCAGAUUGCUGACCCAAGAUUCAGUAAAGCAAGAAUUAAUGAUACAGGACCAAAAGACUGAUGAGAGAAAUGAGGCCCCAGAUUGUUUCUGGCAUCAGUAAAAGGAAACCAGGCCCCAGGAUCAAACUAAAGACCUCCCUCCAAAGCGGACAGGUCUCUCUCUCUCUCUCAACUCUGCUCUCAGGUAAAGCAAUGUCUGAGGUUUGCCUGGAAUAAGCUUGACUUUGUAGAGCUUCUAAGGACACGCAUGAAGCCAUUACCUACCCACAGAGGUCCAUAUAAGUACUCAAAAUGCACAGAAAAAUGGAAAGAAAAGAUGGAAGAAAGAAAAUGCAGUGUGAUGUCCUGAGGUGAGCUGGAGAAAUAGUGCUAACCCUUAUACAGUCUUGUAGCUGAAGAGUGACAUCAUUUCUAAAUGUCUUGGACUGAUGUUUAGAAUGGAAAUAAGAAGAGAAUAAUAUUGAGAAUGUUGGCAUGGUUUUUAAAGUUUCCCUCAAGGAUCUGAACAGUGAAGUGUCUACAAAGGAAGAGACAAAGGUGAACCGAGAGAACAACAAAGGGUGGGACACAGACUUCAGCCUCCCCCACCCCCCUCCAGGGACCUUCUGCCUUAGGGCUUGGGGACAGAGGUAUAGGUCAUACUCCUGAGUUGUCCAUCAGGGAGCUGAUUUUCCACUGAACCUUCUCAUGUCCAUCCCAACUGGCAGAGGAUGAACAAGACUGGGCUUGUUGGCUGGAAGAUGAAGUGACUUGGAGAGAGGCCGCAACUAUUUGAGCUAGGGCCCCACCCAUGUGAAUGGGUCUAGCUCAAGUAGAACCUGCUCAGACUAGGAAAAUUUUCCAGUGAGCCACAGAAUGGCUUCCAUCCUGUGUUUCAGCCUGGCUCCACUUAGGACUACGUCUGGUCCCUUUAUUCACUGAGGUACGAGGGCUGCAUGUACUGACAGUCUGGGUAUUCUCAACACAUCUCCAGAUCCCCAGGAGAACUGAAGAAUCACAGGAUAUUAUUUCUGAGUCUUCUAAAUCAAAACCACCUAGUUUGGAAAUAAGGCUCAGUGUGAUCCUGAGCAUCCUUAAUGUCAAAGAAAGAGACAGAAGAGUCAGAUCAGAGGGGAGAGAUGUGAGAAGAACUGAAGCCAUUGUUGCUGGCUUUACAGAUGGAAGAAAAGGGCCAUACUCCAAGGUACUUCUGGAAGCUGGAAAGCCAAGUGAAGAGAGUCUUCCCUAGAGCCUCCAGGAAGGAACACAGUCCUGCUGAUACCUUGAUUUUAGCCUACGGAGACCCACUCUGGACUUUGGAACUUUAGAAUUGAAUGAAGAAGAGAUGCAUGCCACAGCGAGGCACUUUCUAGCCAGCCAAUCUCAGGUACAUCCUACCCUGGAGAACAUGUUCCAUGUCCCUUCAAGGCCGGCAGAGUUAAAAAAAAAAUCCACCUCUGAUUGGAGAGCCCAGAUUUUAUUUCUGGUGAAGCUUGCAGGUGGUAAGGCUUGUUAAAGCAGUUUGAUCCAUCAGCCUCCCCUCUCUUGAGGCUCUCAGUAUGAGAGAAUCGUACAUGAACAAUAGUUGUUGGUUUUCUCCUUCUUUUUCCUCUUCCCCUCCUUCUCCUCUUCUCUUCCUCCCCCACCACUCCUCCCUGUUUUUCCUCUCCCUUCUUUUUCUUCUUAACCUGACUUGCAUUAUUGUCCAGAGCUGACCAGGGAAGCAGUGAGGUUUGGAAAAGGAUCUACAACACAUUGGUUCACUAAAUACUUAUUUUGCUGCUAUGAAAUUCUCCAGUGUAUGGCAGGAAGUCACAUCAUAAUACUUUUUUCAACUUACUGUCAACUUGUAUUAUUUUGUAACUACUGAAGUGAAUGCCAGCCCUGAAAUUUAGCCGUCUACCCUUCCAACAGGAAGGACAAAGUACAUUUCAUUCAAGUAAAUAAAACAAACAUCUGCUUUCAUGGGCUGGCCCCAACUUACUUUUCUAGUUUCUUCCUCUACCACAUUCCUAAUUUGCCCAACACACACACACACACACACACACACACACACACACACACACAAUGCUAUUAGCACAUUCUUUUCCUCUAAGCUUAGAACAGUUUUGGAGCUCUAACUAGUCGAAUACAUGAAUGAAAUAAGCUGUGCAAUUACACUAGGUGCAUUUGCUCAUACUUUCCCAGUUUUGGAAUACCACCCUUUCCACUAUCCUAAUUUUAAUUUCUAUUCAUCCUUAAGGUCCAACUUGCUGCUCUUUUUGAAGUCCUCAUUGAGUAUCACUCCUUUUCUCCUCUGUAUAUUCAUAAUGUCUUACUUCUUAAUGUCACCUCACUUCACCUUUGUGUUUGCUUGGCUUCCUCUCCCUGUGCAGUGCAGGUUCGUCGUGGUAGGAAACAUCUUUCUCAUCUCUGUACCUACCACCUAGCAUACUGGUUGCCAUAAGGUAAGCACUGAAAUGUUUAAUGUGUUGGUCAACUCUUUGAUAAGCUCUGGGAGAGUGACAUUCCUGGCAUGGGGGGCAGGCGGUGGCCAUCAACCAAGAUAAAGGAGCAGAGCAGGAGUUGAAGGUGAUUGUGUGCCCUGACACAGAUAUCUGCGAGUCACCUGUAUCUGCAGGUCUGGAGCUGAGGAGAGAUCAAGACCAGACAUACAGAGUUGGGAGUUCCUGGUGCAGAGGUCUGGAGGUUGGGGAGUCCAAGAUCAAGGUACCAGCAGAUACAGUGUCUGGUGAGGGUCCACUUCCUGGCUCGUAGACAGCCACCUUCUCACUGUGUCCUCACAUGGCUGGAAAG